GAAGCUGCGAAGAUGGCGGAGUAAGGCGUGCCGCUGCAAACUGGCCUCUGGGCCGGGGGCGAGCAGCCCCCGGGAGGCCGAGUGCAUCUGUUGGACCGUGCGAGGAGAAGAAAAAAAAUAUCGGCCAGAGGAGAGGAACUAACCGAACAUUCUUCCUCCCUACCUUAUAGAGGGGAGUGGUCAUCUACACUAAAGCAAAGUGUUAGGCGCGUCCGUGCGAAGAGACCACCAAACAGGCUUUGUGUUCCUUAUCACAGGAAGAAAAUUUUCCUUGACCUUUAGGUGCUUUUAUAUUCAUCUCAAAAACAAAAUUCUGAACUCAGGACUUGGCAAAGAUGGAGUUUUGCCAUGUUGGCCAGGCUGGUCUCCAACUCCUGACCUCAGACCACCGCUGAAACUUCACUUCUACACAGAGGCUUUCUUUCCCAGAAACCCAGACCAGAUGGAGUUUCACUCUGUCGCCCAGGCUGGAGUGCAGUGGCACGAUCUCGGCUGACUGCAGCCUCUACCUGCUGGGUUCAAGCAAUUCUUCUGCCUCAGGUUCCUGAGUAGCUGGGAUUACAGGUGCGCACCACCAUGCCUGGCUAAUUUUUGUAUUUUUAGUAGAGACGAGGUUUCACCACGUUGGCGAGGCUGGUCUUGAACUCCUGACCUCAAGUGAUCCACUGCCUCGGCCUCCGAAAAUCUGGAAUUAUAGAUGUGAGCCACUGCGCCAGGCCUGUAAUUUUAUGUAUCUUUAUGUGAUUAUUUGAAUGUCCCUCUCUGACUAGAUUAUAAAUUCUAAGGAUAGUGUGUCUAUUUUUGCUUACCUUUUAUCCCCAGCACCUAGUCUAACACUUUACAAAUAUAUAUUAAAUUAAUAUUUUGAUAAGUUACUCAAAGUGCUACAUAAAACAAAAUUAUAGAAAAUAGUACUUUGGUAACUGUUUCGUUUUAUCAUUGCUUUCAUUAUUUCUCUGUUAACCUCAGUUUACAACUGAAAAAGACAAAUUGUAUAUUAUUCAGGCAAUUUAUUAAACAUUACCUAUA
Molecule: long non-coding RNA, 1029 nt
Filed under: Homo sapiens (human)
Lineage: Eukaryota; Metazoa; Chordata; Mammalia; Primates; Hominidae
Description: OIP5 antisense RNA 1
Source: RNAcentral